Molecule: ribosomal RNA, 467 nt
Filed under: uncultured bacterium
Lineage: Bacteria
Description: partial 16S ribosomal RNA
Rfam family: Bacterial small subunit ribosomal RNA
Source: RNAcentral
GACGAACGCUGGCGGCGUGCUUAACACAUGCAAGUCGAACGGAAAGGCCUCUUUCGGGGGGUACUCGAGUGGCGAACGGGUGAGUAACACGUGAGUAACCUGCCCUUGACUUUGGUAUAACUUCAGGAAACUGGGGCUAAUACCGGAUAGGAGCUCCUGCUGCAUGGUGGGGGUUGGAAAGUUUCGGCGGUUGGGGAUGGACUCGCGGCUUAUCAGCUUGUUGGUGGGGUAGUGGCUUACCAAGGCUUUGACGGGUAGCCGGCCUGAGAGGGUGACCGGCCACAUUGGGACUGCGAUACGGCCCAGACUCCUACGGGAGGCAGCAGGGGGGAAUAUUGCACAAUGGGUGGAAGCCUGAUGCAGUAACGCCGUGUGCGGGAGGACGGCCUUCGGGUUGUAAACCGCUUUCGCUCAUGACGAAGCUUUGUGUGACGGUAGUGGGUAAAGAAGCACCGGCUAACUACGUG